ACCCACCAAACCUAGACUGGGUUUCAUUCUAUAGGAUACCGAGCCGCCCUCCUCAAAACAGUCAAAAGUCAUGAGAAAGAAGAUCAAGGAAUGGUCGCAGACCAGAGGAGACUGGGGAGACAAGACAAAGGUCCACUAGUCUGUCCCAGGGCUGCACCCAUAAAACAUCUCUUCCCUGCAACAGCUUACCUGCGGCCAAGGUGAAACGAGCGGGUCUACUCUGCCACCAGGUGAGCAGCAUGAGCUGAAAAGCAGAAAUAC
This 261-nucleotide long non-coding RNA is filed under the name Mustela putorius furo (domestic ferret). RNAcentral's name for it is "lncRNA (ENSMPUG00000024850.1)". The record is from RNAcentral. Lineage: Eukaryota; Metazoa; Chordata; Mammalia; Carnivora; Mustelidae.